ACGUGCGGAUUUAUUGGAAAAAGGGACUCAUAUGAGAAGAUGUCUUCUUAUUUGAUGGCUCUGAACCUCCCACCUCUCCUCACCUUCGUUAUGCUAGAGGCACAGUGGAUAUGCUGGGAGAAGGAUCAUGCCAUACUUUUUCUCUAAGCUUCCACUGCUUGAAACAGGAUAUUAAAUACUUGGCAAUAAAGCAGGUUCUGCUUGUUGUUCAGUAACCUUGUAGCCUUCAGCUCUACUCUAAAAUCAUACAGGAGCCGAGCAUCUGAGCAGGGAUCAAUGAUUUGUGUCAGAGAGGAAGGAGGAUAUUAAAGAUACCGGAGGAAACAAAAAAAAGAGAAGCUGACCUUGGAGCAGCCAAAUGUGUAGAGACCCAUUGGUUCAACUUCUAACCCUCAUUACUUGUCCCCUCCCAUCACUGAAUUUAAUCCUUACACGACUCUUGCCAGCCUCUCCUUUGGCACUGCAAGCUGGCUCUUCAGCUUGAUGAGCGGUUCUUGUGCUCAGGCUCUACUGAGUAGGGAGCUGAGGCUGGGGAUGAGAUUAGACAGUUAGUGCUGCUUUUCCAUCUGGGCUCCAGCAGCCCUUGUGGGUGACACCUAUCCAUCGUGUGAAAAAGGUUUCCUAGCACUGUUAGAGCCGAGGAAGGUGUAUGCUGCUUCCUACCUUUGUUAUCAGUCCAGCCCCUUACUUUCAGAGCUGUGUGCUCAUUAGCAGCCACCUUUUUGUAAUGCCCAGGGGGAGCUUUGUUGCUGAUCCUGAUGGGAGAGAAAGCAGCAAGUGCUGAGGUGCCGGUGUCUGCACGUCUCUUGGGUGGUGCUGGAGGUGCUGGUAGGGAGGACACAACCCACAGGAUAAGCACAGGAGCAGGGUUUGAUACCAUGGUUUGCAUAUUGUACUCUGGCUCAACUGUCAGCUACAACCACUUCUAAUGGCCCUCCUUUCCUUUCCCAUUCCUUCCUUAUCUUUUUGUGAACAUUUCCACACUGCUGUUAAACUUGCAGUACACAGGGUGCUGCACCUGCAAAACGAGUACUGUCCCUUGGCCUCUGCUUUUCAGGUAACGGUCAAACUUGUGGGGCAGAUGCAGCUGACGGCUGGUUAGCUGUCACUGUACGCAGCAUCCCAGCAGGCCUGAAGAUCAGCCCUUACACAGAUAGAGCAUUUCUCCUUUGCAAGGGCACGGUUUCCUGUAGGUCUGCCUGAGCUAAAAGAACUUGCCUGCACAGGCAGCAGCUCAGACAGGGGCAAAGUGGAGGUGCAGAGCAGCGGGUACUGUGAUGGGCUGCUCCGGCUGCAACACUGGAAAUGAUGAGUACAUGUUUUGCUUUUCCUUGGAAGUACACGAUUCACUGGUAUCCUUCAGAAAAUCUUACUGCUCACAGAGGGCCAGGGAAGGAGAAGAAUUACCUUUUUUCAUUGAAUGCAGGAGAUCAUGUGGGCGAGAACAGGCUGGUCUAGAGGAUAUUGCAGCCCUGAUGCCCUGCAGGAAAGAUGGAGACCAAGCCGAGAGAGCAGUUCCAGACUGGUAGAAGGAAAAGAUCCAUGACCUCAUACUGGUCUCUGCUCACAGGGGACAGCAGUGGCAACACUGAGCCAUGACGAUUUGGGGACCACCAUGAUGCAGCAGCCUAAAGGAUCAAAUUUGAUGCCAGCACAGAUCAAAAUUGCUGAGCUAUUAAACAAAGAUAUUCACAAGAGACUGACUUUGGCGUCUCCUGGGAUGCAGUGUGGUCUCUGCCUUUAACAACGCACAGCAGCGCGGUUCUUGCAAGGGCUACAGAAAGUUCUCUCAUAGGGGUGAAUGACAAAGCUCCUGUUGAGGCUGUGACAGGGGAAGUUUCUCGUCAGGUAAGUGUUAUGUGUUUGCCACAGGGAAAUGGGUACACGAUUCGCAGUAGGUGAAUUGCUUGUAAUACAUUUCAUUGGAAAAUUUAAAUCUGGAAAUUUAUUUUUUUCAUCUGUAAGCAAAAAGCUUCUACAUCUGUCAUGAAGGAAAUCUUCUUUGAGGCUGAACAAAAUAAAAGAUGGAAGUCCAAAUGAAA
Pezoporus flaviventris is the source of this 2042-nucleotide long non-coding RNA. RefSeq lists it as uncharacterized. NCBI's taxonomy places the organism in Eukaryota, Metazoa, Chordata, Aves, Psittaciformes, Psittacidae. The transcript has 2 exons. The record is from RefSeq and is a predicted model, not a curated record.